Molecule: unclassified non-coding RNA, 302 nt
Filed under: fungal sp.
Lineage: Eukaryota; Fungi
Description: partial internal transcribed spacer region
Rfam family: Eukaryotic small subunit ribosomal RNA (bases 1-46)
Source: RNAcentral
AAGUCGUAACAAGGUUUCCGUAGGUGAACCUGCGGAAGGAUCAUUAUUAAAACAAAACAUAUUUAUAAUUUAUUUAUUAUUUAUAUGUUGGUAUUAAUAAAUACACAUAUUUAGAAAUGUCAUUUUUCUUUUUGAAAUUUAAUUUUUAGCAUUUCUAAAUUAUUUAAAAAAUUAAAUAUCAUUAUCGACUGAUUUUAAAAUUUAAUUUUAAAUAAAGUUGAAAAAAAUAUAUAUAAAACGUUUUUGGUCUUACAAAAGAAAAGUCUUAAAAUAACUUUUAACGAUGGAUCUCUUGGCUCCUA